RNAcentral lists this long non-coding RNA (276 nucleotides) under Medicago truncatula (barrel medic). Its description in RNAcentral is "long non-coding RNA (MTRU_LNC004213)". Lineage: Eukaryota; Viridiplantae; Streptophyta; Magnoliopsida; Fabales; Fabaceae. The record is from RNAcentral.
AGAACGAUUGGCAAUACAAAAUCAGAAAAGCUGGAAGAGAACAAAAUAAUAGAGAGAUCGACGACGGAAGGAAAGAAGAUAAAGAUGGCAUGAACAGAUUGAAACUAAUCAACUUGUUUUAGAUCUAAUAUGUGCUUUCUAAUUUGAUAUCUACUUGUUUGGAUGAGUGUAGAUUUUGAUUUAGAGAGAAUAGAAGAUGAGUGUAAGGGAGGAGCGGCUGCAAGCCUCCAACAUAGAAAAGUAGGGUUAUGUUUUUAACUUCACCUUUAUUUGAUA